Molecule: non-coding RNA, 680 nt
Organism: Pelobates cultripes (western spadefoot toad)
Lineage: Eukaryota; Metazoa; Chordata; Amphibia; Anura; Pelobatidae
Source: the annotation of a GenBank genome assembly
GGGAAUAUCAGGUCCCAGACAAUCUUGCCACUGAUUCCUAAAUUUUCUGGGCAACCUGGGGGGUCAAGGUGGCUAUCCGUUCCCUCGUACACCUUCCAGGUGUAUAAGCCUCUGCAAACCUGGCAGCGAAGUGGGUAAUCAGGGGGCCGAUUUUAUACAUCCUGUCAAACUGGGGGCUGUUGUUGCUGAAGUGCAUUAAAAUGUAGAAUCAUUUCAUACCUCUUCCUCGACAUACAUUGGGAGUAAAUGGGGGUAGAGCAGAUGGGACUACUGCUCCAGUAUGAGCGGAUGGAGGGCUUCUUUAUGAUGCCCAUCAGCAUAGUCAAUGCCCAGAAUUUUUUUUAAUUCUGGCACAUCGAUGGGAGCCCAUUGCUGCUUUGCCAAAAAAGAGUCAGGCUUAGCAGCACGGAACUAAUGGGCAUAUAAAUUAGUUUGGGCGACAAUGUUCCCCAAUACAUCAUCGCCCAGAAAUACCUCCAUAAACUGUUGGGGGCUAAAUCCUGCGACAUCCACAUUGAUGCCAGGAUUUGCAGUGAAUGGUGGGAUAUCUUUAUUCUUGAGAUGAGGCGCUACCCACUCCUCAGCAGCACUGCCAGCUGGAGCAGCAGGUCUCCUUCUGACAGGGGGACUAGCAGCCACAGAUACAUCACUAGAUACAUCACUAGAAGCAGACACUGUAU